ACCUGUGCUUCUGCCUUCUUUUGGCCUCACUUUAAGUUUCCUCCCAUGCCUAAGUGGAACCAUCCCCCUUUGCCCAAGUUUCCACUUCCCCCAUUCAAAGGCUUCCACCACCAUUAUCCAAUAAUCCCUCCCAUCUACAAGAAACCUCUUCCGCCACCGUCCCCGGUGUACAAGCCCCCUCCAGUUCCCGUAAACCCACCUGUUCCAAUCUAUAAACCUCCACCAGUUCCAGUCUAUAAACCUCCUCCAGUUCCAGUAAAACCACUUCCUCCACCUGUUCCGAUCUACAAACCUCCACCAGUUGAAAAACCACAUCCUCCACCUGUUCCAAUCUACAAACCUCCACCAGUUGAAAAACCACAUCCUCCACCUGUUCCAAUCUACAAACCUCCACCAGUUGAAAAACCACAUCCUCCACCUGUUCCAGUUUAUAAACCUCCACCAGUUGAAAAACCACAUCCUCCACCUGUUCCAGUCUAUAAACCUCCACCAGUUCCAGUAUAUAAGAAACCAUGUCCUCCACCAGUUCCAGUCUAUAAAUCUCCUCCGGUUCCAGUAUACAAGAAACCGCAUCCUCCUCCAGUUCCAGUCUAUAAGAAACCACAUCCACCUCCAGUUCCAGUAUACAAGAAACCAUGUCCUCCCCCAGUUCCAGUCUAUAAAUCUCCUCCAGUUCCGGAACCACAUCCUCCGCCAGUUCCAGUCCAUAAGCCUCCUCCAGUUCCGGUAUACAAGAAACGAGUCCCUCCUCCGGUUCCAAUCUACAAGCCCCCUCCAGUUCCUGUAUACAACAAACCACUACCUCCCCGGGUUCCAGUGUAUACGAAGCCACUUCCACCACCUGUUCCAACCUACAAUCCAAAACCCCUCCCUCCCAUUCCUUACAAGCCACUCCCUCCACUUCCCAAGAUCCCUCCAUUCCCUAAGAAGCCAUGCCCUCCCCUUCCUAAGCUACCUCCUCUUCCCAAGAUUCCUCCCAAGUAUUUCCACCACCACCCUCCUCUUCCUAAGCUGCCUCCUCUCCCUAAGAUUCCUCCCAAGUAUUUCCACCACCACCCCAAGUUCGGAAAAUGGCCUCCUUUGCCACCCUUUGCUCCCCAUCAUCCUUAAGCUAUCUUGCAUUGUUUUACGCAUUUAAUGAAGGUGGUUAGUGUGAACAAGUUCCCCAGCAGUACCUCAUGCAAUAAAUGUAGCAACAAAAGAAG
Molecule: long non-coding RNA, 1205 nt
Filed under: Gossypium barbadense (sea-island cotton)
Lineage: Eukaryota; Viridiplantae; Streptophyta; Magnoliopsida; Malvales; Malvaceae
Description: long non-coding RNA (GBAR_LNC000810)
Source: RNAcentral